RNAcentral lists this ribosomal RNA (423 nucleotides) under uncultured bacterium. Its description in RNAcentral is "bacterial SSU rRNA". It matches the Rfam family "Bacterial small subunit ribosomal RNA", at positions 355 to 775 of the family's 1533-position model. The record is from RNAcentral.
UAAGGAAUAUUGGUCAAUGGACGAAAGUCUGAACCAGCCAUGCCGCGUGAAGGAUGAAGGCCCUCUGGGUUGUAAACUUCUUUUAUCUGGGACGAAACAAGGGAAUUCUUUCCCUCUUGACGGUACCAGAGGAAUAAGCACCGGCUAACUCCGUGCCAGCAGCCGCGGUAAUACGGAGGGUGCAAGCGUUAUCCGGAUUUACUGGGUUUAAAGGGAGCGUAGGUGGGUCGGUAAGUCAGUGGUGAAAUCUUCGAGCUUAACUCGGAAACUGCCAUUGAUACUAUCGAUCUUGAAUUAUCUGGAGGUAAGCGGAAUAUGUCAUGUAGCGGUGAAAUGCUUAGAUAUGACAUAGAACACCCAUUGCGAAGGCAGCUUACUACGGAUAUAUUGACACUGAGGCUCGAAAGCGUGGGGAUCAAACAG